Molecule: long non-coding RNA, 1704 nt
Filed under: Marmota monax (woodchuck)
Lineage: Eukaryota; Metazoa; Chordata; Mammalia; Rodentia; Sciuridae
Source: RNAcentral
GUAGUAAGACUGCUGAGUACAUUACUGGAACACUGAAAUCUGCCAGUUUAUAGUAGCUGUUAUUUUCAAACCUUUUCAUAACCUUGAACUGUCAUGGUAAAAAAGCAAGUAUGAACAGGUGCUACAACUUUUAAUGUAUCAUACAAAUUUACAAACAUAAAAAGCAAAUAAUGCCUUUAUUUUUAAAAGCUUAUUUGAUUUUAAGGUACUGUACCUAGAUAAGCAAUAAAUUGUAGAAGACUAAAUGAAUUUACUUAUCAGAAAUAUCACUACCUUAUUUAAAGUUACAUGUUGUUCUCAUUCCAUGCAUACUAGAUUUUGUUUAAUUUCCCUCUUAAGUUCUCCAGUUGCAGAUUGUUAUUAGAACUCCUUGAGGGGAGAAGCUAAGUACUAUUCAUUUUAGCAUAGUGUUUAGCUCAUAGUGCACACUGAUUAAAUAUUUCCUAGACUGUUUUCUUGAAGCAAAUUCGUUUUAGAAUCGACUGCUUUCAUUAUAACAUGUCUUGUGUAAUUGGUACUGUGACCCCCACUGCAGACAUGCUGCUAAACAUGUGUAAUUGAUACUGUGACCACCACUGCAGACAUGCUGCUGGACAUGUGUAAUCGGUACUGUGACCACCACUGCAGACAUGCUGCUGGACAUGUGUAAUCGGUACUGUGACCACCACUGCAGACAUGCUGCUGGACAUGUGUAAUUGGUACUGUGACCACCACUGCAGAUAUGCUGUUAAACAUAGCAGACCCAGAACUUAGCAGCCGUUACCUAGAGCCGUUUGUUCUUUUGCCCUCUAAUCUACAUCUUGCCUCCAUCACUGACCCAAGCAGAAUGUCCCCGUGUCUGCCAUGCUCUAAAUCAUAUUGCUAGGCUCCUACUCAUUCUGAGAAUCCUGAGAAAACAAAGGUCCUCUUGUAGUAGGGCUUACAGAGUUAGUUGGAGGGCUGGGGUAGUGUGAGACCAGGUUCUGGAUCUCUGGAACUGGGAAUACAUCUUAGGUUGGAGAGAGUCUCUGUGGGUCAGGAACGUGGGCAAGGCCUAGUUGGGUCCUUUGCUUCAGGCCCCUCACAAGGCAGCAGUUGAAGCUUCAGCUGGGUGGAGACCUGUGUCUAAGCUCACUCACUUGGUGGCUGGCUCUGUCUGAUAGACUGAGGUCCUUAGUUCCUUCUUGAUGGAUGGCCAAAGGCUGCUCUCAGUUCCUUGCCAUGUGGCCUUCUCCGUCCUGCUUCAUCAGAGCGUGUACAUGAGAAGAGCCCAAGAGCACUCGCAAGGAAGGAGCACUAGCAAAUGGAAAUCAUAGCUCUGCAACAAAAUCACAGAGGUGACAUCCGUUUUGCAGUUUUGUUGGAGGAAAAUUACUUGAUCCACCCCACACUCGAGGCAUAGAUAACAGGGGUUGAGAGUACCUGGAAGGAGGACUAUCUUAGAAAUCUGCUUAACACAGGAUUGUCAAAUAAUAUAUAAGAGCCUAAAAGAGCCCUGAAACCCAAAAGUUAAGAGACCUGCUUAUCUGGAUGUAUAUUCAGCUGGUAGAAUAUGAAGGGAGGUGACCCCUUCCUUGAGAAGUUUUUCUCCAGGGCAAGGUGGUGGGUGGGCCAUGGAAGCCCAUGCACAGAGGGUGACAAGAGAGGCUCCCCCUUUUCUAGAGGCAAGGAUCUGUAUAUUACAUAGCUGUCUUCUAGCAACAUCUUUCAGAAAAUAACACAAAC